RNAcentral lists this ribosomal RNA (259 nucleotides) under uncultured bacterium. RNAcentral's name for it is "partial 16S ribosomal RNA". It matches the Rfam family "Bacterial small subunit ribosomal RNA", at positions 1234 to 1500 of the family's 1533-position model. The record is from RNAcentral.
CGUAAACAGAGGGAAGCGAGCCUGCGAGGGGGAGCGAAUCCCAAAAAUAACGUCCCAGUUCGGAUUGUAGUCUGCAACCCGACUCCAUGAAGCUGGAUUCGCUAGUAAUCGCGCAUCAGCCACGGCGCGGUGAAUACGUUCCCGGGCCUUGUACACACCGCCCGUCAAGCCAUGGAAGCCGGGAGUGCCUGAAGUGCGUGACCGCAAGGAGCGCCCUAAGGCAAUACCGGUGACUGGGGCUAAGUCGUAACAAGGUACC